ACGUCGGACGAGCUGGUCAACCUCUCACGCGCCUCGUCUUUGUACGCUAGCUUGCUGUGCUAUCGUGUUCGACCGGAGGUGUUCCUCAGAUGGCAGGCGCGAUGGCCCCCGAACGAGUGUGUUUGCACGUCACAGGAGUCGGCGACGAGAGCCAGUCCUGCGCACGCGUGCAGAUCGGCGGCACUUGCGUCCCAGUCCUAUGCGGCGGGCACGUGGAUCAAGUCAGAGGGCAUUACACGUGUAUCCGGCACACUCGGGUUUCAAUUCCCCGUGGCCGCACCUCUGGUCCCAGUCGAGCCCUGCAACUUGUGCAACGGUGAAAUCGACGCCAACGAACUACGCUUCGUGGUGUGCACAAAUCCGUUGCAGUGCUGCCGUGUGUGCAUGCACUGCUACACGCGACUGGUACUGGGGCAUGCGAGUGGAGAGGGGGCUCCUGUCGACCAAUUGGGGCAGGUUUGCCCCACUGCGGUGCGGUGCACGGCAGGGUGCCGAAAAGCGGGCAGCUUUCUCAUGGUUCCGACGCUGAGUGAGCUGAUGCACGCGAACGGCCUUAACCUGCGAUACCUGGCGUACGUUCUGCAUCGUUUACCGCAGGCAACACGAGCUGCAGUCGAGCACUGGUGCCACGUGGAGAUGGUCGCGCGAACGGCGAAGCACCUCCUGCAGCACGAUCUCCGCAGCGCCACCACCCCAUUAGAAGCACAGGCAACGUGUGAGGCUUUGUUGACCUCACUUCUGCAGCCAACUGGUGCCGCCUCAGAGCGAUUCUGGCGCACUCGUUUGGGGCCAGCGCUCCAGUCGCGGUUUCUCGGAAUGUGCAGCCCCUUUCACCUCUCCGUGCACGCGCUACGACUGGUCGCCGAGCGAGUUGCGGCGUUGGCCGGGGUGACCUUGUCGGAGUCGUGCUUGUCUUCCUUGGCAUCACUUUCUGCGCCGACGAAUCCAAAGAUAGUACGUCGGCGAACCGAUAGCGACACUGAGACGAACAACGGUGAGGCAGACCCUCUAAGCACCGCGGCCGCAACGGACACCGGCGGUGCUUUCGUUGAAAUCAAACACAUUGCACCGCUAAUUCUGGUGUUCCCAGCACCGCCCAUGGAGCCACCCUUGCCAUCCCUACCCGCGUCAGAGGAUGUAGGUGAAGAGAGCGGCCCGCAAGGGUGUUCUCCAGCAAAGCGCCGUGCUGAGAGGCUUCUGCUGUUCUGGAUUGGGCACACCCCGGAAGGGGCAGAUGACGCGCAGCAGCCUUUUUACCUGGACGAGUCCGUGCUGCACAUGGCCCUCCGGUAAAUAGUGGAGGCGAGUAAACAGGCAAAGAAAGAAACACCCACUUAGAAGAAUGUGCAUGCGCCACUGCAGUCAUGGAUGUCGUCGUGGUGUUCCUGUGCACAGGAAGUCAUGGGCAGACGCAAGCGUCUCGCUUUGCCGCCACUCCACGCCUCUACGGCAGAACUCCG
Molecule: unclassified non-coding RNA, 1460 nt
Filed under: Leishmania donovani
Lineage: Eukaryota; Euglenozoa; Kinetoplastea; Trypanosomatida; Trypanosomatidae
Description: gene:LdHU3.32.2070(CDS-product:Translation_initia tion_factor_eIF3_subunit_135_putative)
Source: RNAcentral